This 169-nucleotide ribosomal RNA is filed under the name uncultured bacterium. RNAcentral's name for it is "partial 16S ribosomal RNA". It matches the Rfam family "Bacterial small subunit ribosomal RNA", at positions 338 to 524 of the family's 1533-position model. The record is from RNAcentral.
CCUACGGGAGGCAGCAGUCGGGAAUUUUGGGCACUGGGCGCAAGCCUGACCGAGCAACGCCGCGUGGAGGAUGACGGCCUUCGGGUUGUAAACUCCUUUGAGGUGGGAUGAUAUGGACCGUACCACCAGAACAAGCCCCGGCUAACUCUGUGCCAGCAGCCGCGGUAAU